GUGGGGAAUCUUAGACAAUGGGCGCAAGCCUGAUCUAGCCAUGCCGCGUGAGCGAUGAAGGCCUUAGGGUUGUAAAGCUCUUUCAGCUGGGAAGAUAAUGACGGUACCAGCAGAAGAAGCCCCGGCUAACUUCGUGCCAGCAGCCGCGGUAAUACGAAGGGGGCUAGCGUUGUUCGGAAUUACUGGGCGUAAAGCGCACGUAGGCGGGUAUUUAAGUCAGGGGUGAAAUCCCGGAGCUCAACUCCGGAACUGCCUUUGAUACUGGGUACCUAGAGUAUGGAAGAGGUAAGUGGAAUUCCGAGUGUAGAGGUGAAAUUCGUAGAUAUUCGGAGGAACACCAGUGGCGAAGGCGGCUUACUGGUCCAUUACUGACGCUGAGGUGCGAAAGCGUGGGGAGCAAACAGGAUUAGAUACCCGUGUAGUCC
This 425-nucleotide ribosomal RNA is filed under the name uncultured bacterium. RNAcentral describes it as "partial 16S ribosomal RNA". It matches the Rfam family "Bacterial small subunit ribosomal RNA", at positions 354 to 796 of the family's 1533-position model. The record is from RNAcentral.